Molecule: ribosomal RNA, 496 nt
Filed under: uncultured bacterium
Lineage: Bacteria
Description: partial 16S ribosomal RNA
Rfam family: Bacterial small subunit ribosomal RNA
Source: RNAcentral
AUGAACGCUGGCGGCGUGCCUAAUACAUGCAAGUCGAGCGAACGGACGAGAAGCUUGCUUCUCUGAUGUUAGCGGCGGACGGGUGAGUAACACGUGGAUAACCUACCUAUAAGACUGGGAUAACUUCGGAAAACCGGAGCUAAUACCGGAUAAUAUUUUGAACCGCAUGGUUCCAAAGUGAAAGACGGUCUUGCUGUCACUUAUAGAUGGAUCCGCGCUGCAUUAGCUAGUUGGUAAGGUAACGGCUUACCAAGGCAACGAUGCAUAGCCGACCUGAGAGGGUGAUCGGCCACCCUGGAACUGAGACACGGUCCAGACUCCUACGGGAGGCAGCAGUAGGGAAUCUUACGCAAUGGGCGAAAGCCUGACGGAGCAACGCCGCGUGAGUGAUGAAGGUCUUCGGAUCGUAAAACUCUGUUAUUAGGGAAGAACAUAUGUGUAAGUAACUGUGCACAUCUUGACGGUACCUAAUCAGAAAGCCACGGCUAACUACGUG